UACGUAGGUGGCAAGCGUUGUCCGGAUUUACUGGGCGUAAAGAGCGCGCAGGCGGUCGUUCAAGUCGCGUGUGAAAGCCCCCGGCUCAACUGGGGAGGGUCACGCGAUACUGAUCGACUCGAAGGCAGGAGAGGGUAGUGGAAUUCCCGGUGUAGUGGUGAAAUGCGUAGAUAUCGGGAGGAACACCAGUGGCGAAGGCGGCUACCUGGACCAGCACUGACACUGAGGCACGAAAGCGUGGGGAGCAAACAGG
This 253-nucleotide ribosomal RNA is filed under the name uncultured bacterium. RNAcentral's name for it is "partial 16S ribosomal RNA". It matches the Rfam family "Bacterial small subunit ribosomal RNA", at positions 524 to 776 of the family's 1533-position model. The record is from RNAcentral.